GAUGAACGCUGGCGGCGUGCCUAAUACAUGCCAGUCGAGCGAACAGACGAGGAGCUUGCUCCUCUGACGUUAGCGGCGGACGGGUGAGUAACACGUGGAUAACCUACCUAUAAGACUGGGAUAACUUCGGGAAACCGGAGCUAAUACCGGAUAAUAUAUUGAACCGCAUGGUUCAAUAGUGAAAGACGGUUUUGCUGUCACUUAUAGAUGGAUCCGCGCCGCAUUAGCUAGUUGGUAAGGUAACGGCUUACCAAGGCGACGAUGCGUAGCCGACCUGAGAGGGGGACGGGCAACCAUGGAACUGAGACACGGCCCAGCCCCCCAGGGGGGGCAGAAGUAGGGAUUUUUCCGAAAGGGGGGAAAGCCUGACGGGGCAACGCCGGGGGGGUGAUGAAGGGUUUCGGACGGUAAAACCCUUUUUUUGGGGAAAAAAAAAUUGUUAAGUAACGUUGCCCGUUUGGACGGUACCAAACCAAAAAGCCCCGGCAAACUCCGG
RNAcentral lists this ribosomal RNA (496 nucleotides) under uncultured bacterium. Its description in RNAcentral is "partial 16S ribosomal RNA". It matches the Rfam family "Bacterial small subunit ribosomal RNA", at positions 28 to 506 of the family's 1533-position model. The record is from RNAcentral.